AUAUUUAAGUAUUAAAUUUGUUGUUUUAUACCUAGUUUUACAUUUAAAAAGUAGUCAAAAUAAAAAAACUUUAAAAUUUUAUGAACUGUUAUAUGUAGUUUUAUGUUUUUUAAUUAAUGUUAAAAUAUUUAAUUAAUAAUGAUACAGUUGUCCUAUAUGUACCUCUAAAAAAUAGUAAGAUUAAUUUAAUUAAUUUAAUAAAAACUUGUUUAUACAAUAUAUAAAUAAUAUGAAAAAUUUAAAAAUUAAUCAUUUAAACUAAUAUUUAUUUAAAAAAAAAAACAAAAUUGAAAAUUAAUAUUGCAAAAAUAAUUUGUAGUUAAAUGAAAAAAAUAAAAUACUUAGUAACUAAAUAAAAAAAAUUAAAAAAUUUAGUAUUUAGUACAUGUUUUUAUAAAAGUAAACAAAAUAAAAUAAAGUAUUAAUGUUAAAUAUAUAUUUUUAAAAAUAUGUGUUUGUUGAUAAUAAAAAAUUUAAAUUUUAAAAACGUUUAUUAUAGGCGUUGUUCUAAGUAUAUUAUUUAAGUGUAUUCUUGUAAAUAAAUUUUAAAAUUAAUAGUCCUAAUUAAAAAAAAUAUACCCAUAAUUAUUAAUAUAGUAGCAUAGUAAUUUGUUAACUAAAUAUUAAAGUGUUCCAUAGAAAAUUUUAAAAUUAAAACAAAUAAAGUAAAAAUAGAAAUAAAAUAAAAAUUUUAAAAAAAAUUAAAAAAUUAAAAUAGGGCAAGUCCUACUCUCCUUUACAAAGAGAACCUUUAUGUAUAGGUAAUUGUAUGUUUGAUUGGGGCAAUACUAUAUUUAGUUAUAUAGAAAAAGAACUAUAUUUAUUGAAAUUAUAAAAGGUUCGAGCAGGUUAACAAGCAUUCAAAUUAAAUGUGUUUCAUCGUCUACUUAUUGCUGAAAAUUGAUUGUUCAUCAAAAAUGCAAUUCGUUAGUUGGGUUAAAAUCGUUGUAAAGCAGAUUUGUUUAUAUAUUUAAUUAGUGUAAUAAUUAAAAAAUUAAGUAUAGUACGCAAGGAUA
This 1016-nucleotide ribosomal RNA is filed under the name Vickermania ingenoplastis. RNAcentral describes it as "12S ribosomal RNA". The stretch from base 479 to 1016 matches the Rfam family "Trypanosomatid mitochondrial large subunit ribosomal RNA". Lineage: Eukaryota; Euglenozoa; Kinetoplastea; Trypanosomatida; Trypanosomatidae. The record is from RNAcentral.